GGAAAGGCUGAUUAGUUGGGUAAGAAUGGAUAACUGAAAUUUGCUUCAUUACUCUUCAACCCUUUUGCGAUGAUAUUUUAGUGAAGUUCAAAAGGCAAAGAGCACAAUUUUAUCUGUAAACUAAGGAUUGUCCCAUUUCAGGAAUCACCUUUUCCCCCCUAAUAUAUCUGUUGUGUAAAUAAAAACACAUAAUUUAUUUGGGGGAAAUAGAAUAGAGGUUUCCCAGACUUUAGGGUAGGAAGAUAAAAUUUUCUUCUCUGUGUAAGUAAUGACCUUAAAUUACAGCAUUUGAAGGUUGAUAAAACUAUACUGGUAUAUCUGAAAUGGCACCAAACAUAUGUGAUUGAUUUUAUAGGGAUCUUCAUAUCUAAUCUUUUAUUUAUCUAGUGUCUUGCUCUUUUAUUUUAAUGUUUUGAUUGACAGGAAACUUAAUAGCUAUGUGGAAGUAAAAUUUUUGUCGCUUUAUCCAGAAGCAGCUCUGUACUUUGGACAUCACUGCAGGAAGAAAAAUGCCUGAGCCAUGAGGGUCAACCACAAAGUUCCUGAAUCCUGCCUAUAUCUGAUCCUCUUUUCAAGAGGGAUCUGCAGAAAUUGUCUACAUGGAGGCUGCACAUAGACGGAUCAAGAUUUUUUCUGCCUAGCUUUUGAGCAAGAACAAGAUUGCAUUGGUUUGAAAUAGACACUGCAAAUGUAACCUUUGCUGGCAAUGACAAGGCUUUUUUUCUAGAGAUAUUCUUGUUAGCUGUGCUUAUCUGAAUGUGUUAGCAGUUGACUCAUGAAAAAAUACUUAUUGUUGGCUGCAAAGUAGUUUUCGAAAUUGAACAUGUAUCUCCUAAGGAUUUUCUGCCUAAAGGCAAAGGUCAUAAAAAGGUCUGUGAGUCCUGAAAUCUUUUUUUAGUGCCUCAGAAUAGGAAAUCACAGACAUAUUGAUCCUGGAUUUGCAGUCAGAUUUCACUCUUUACAAAAAUGAAUUUCAUUCCAGUUCAGAAUCUCCCUAUGCUGUUACAGUAUAGCCAUAUGAGUAACUAAAAUAAUGAGUUGUGAGUGUUGCAGAGUCUUCAGGUAGAAUGAGAUCAUCUUACAGUGUAACAGGUUGGAGAAAAUCAUGAAGGAGCCUUGGAAUGGAAAGCUG
Molecule: long non-coding RNA, 1132 nt
Filed under: Chloebia gouldiae (Gouldian finch)
Lineage: Eukaryota; Metazoa; Chordata; Aves; Passeriformes; Passeridae
Description: Erythrura gouldiae (Gouldian finch) lncRNA (ENSEGOG00005016489.1)
Source: RNAcentral